Mya arenaria is the source of this 243-nucleotide long non-coding RNA. RefSeq lists it as uncharacterized. The record is from RefSeq and is a predicted model, not a curated record. Lineage: Eukaryota; Metazoa; Mollusca; Bivalvia; Myida; Myidae. The transcript is spliced from 3 exons.
CAGGGCAACCUGGAGGCCCUGCUUAAGGUGACCUCUGAUCUAGCAUUAGAGCUCACCAAAAAAAUGGAGGUUUUGGAAAAACUUCAGAAAGAUGCCACUGAAGUGCUCCAAAAUCUGGAAGAUUAUGAAGAAGUUAUGAAGCAAGUAGCUGACAAGCAAAAAGAACUUUUACCAUUCCUGGAGAGGAAGGCAGUGAUGGAGUUAACCAAGCCACUACAAGAGGUAUACACUCAUGAUUCAACC